GGAGUCGGCCAGACAGUCGCGUCACUCGCAAGAGUGCCGAGGAAAGUCCGGGCUCCAUAGGGCAAGGUGCCAGGUAACGCCUGGGCGGCGCAAGCCGACGGAAAGUGCAACAGAAAGAUACCGCCUACGUCCCUCGUCACCCCUCUGCCGCCACUGAAGCAUGUCGGCGAUGCGCAGCAUCGCCAAGUGCGUUCGGAGGCUGCAGAGGGGUGGCGAGGGGCCGGUAAGGGUGAAAUGGUGCGGUAAGAGCGCACCGCGAGUCCGGUAACGGACCGGCACGGCAAACCCCACCUGGAGCAAGACCAAAUAGGGAUCCAUUGGCGUGGCCCGCGCUGGAUCCGGGUAGGUUGCUUGAGCGCUGCGGUGACGUAGCGCCUAGACGAAUGACUGUCCACGACAGAACCCGGCUUAUCGGCCGGCUCCGCCG
This 427-nucleotide RNase P RNA is filed under the name Xanthomonas axonopodis pv. ricini. RNAcentral's name for it is "RNase P RNA component class A". It matches the Rfam family "Bacterial RNase P class A". From Rfam's summary of the family: Ribonuclease P (RNase P) is a ubiquitous endoribonuclease, found in archaea, bacteria and eukarya as well as chloroplasts and mitochondria. Its best characterised activity is the generation of mature 5'-ends of tRNAs by cleaving the 5'-leader elements of precursor-tRNAs. Lineage: Bacteria; Pseudomonadati; Pseudomonadota; Gammaproteobacteria; Lysobacterales; Lysobacteraceae. The record is from RNAcentral. RNAcentral also lists the same sequence under 2 other names.